Molecule: ribosomal RNA, 410 nt
Filed under: Verrucomicrobiota bacterium
Lineage: Bacteria; Pseudomonadati; Verrucomicrobiota
Description: Verrucomicrobia bacterium partial 16S ribosomal RNA
Rfam family: Bacterial small subunit ribosomal RNA
Source: RNAcentral
UGGGGAAUAUUGCACAAUGGACGGAAGUCUGAUGCAGCGACGCCGCGUGGGGGAUGAAGGCUUUCGGGUUGUAAACUCCUUUCAGUACAGAAGAAGCUUUAUUGUGACGUUAUGUGCAGAAGAAGCGCCGGCUAACUACGUGCCAGCAGCCGCGGUAAUACGUAGGGCGCGAGCGUUGUCCGGAAUUAUUGGGCGUAAAGCGAGCGCAGGCGGUUAGAAAAGUCUGAAGUGAAAGGCAGUGGCUCAACCAUUGUAGGCUUUGGAAACUGUUUAACUUGAGUGCAGAAGGGGAGAGUGGAAUUCCAUGUGUAGCGGUGAAAUGCGUAGAUAUAUGGAGGAACACCGGUGGCGAAAGCGGCUCUCUGGUCUGUAACUGACGCUGAGGCUCGAAAGCGUGGGGAGCGAACAGG